RNAcentral lists this long non-coding RNA (597 nucleotides) under Dasypus novemcinctus (nine-banded armadillo). RNAcentral describes it as "lncRNA (ENSDNOG00000052024.1)". Lineage: Eukaryota; Metazoa; Chordata; Mammalia; Cingulata; Dasypodidae. The record is from RNAcentral.
CAUUCCAGCAUUCCUAUUCUUACUCUCCAUUCGCUUUGCAGAUCCCGUGGGGGAGGACAAGGACGAGGUGAGAUGUCCAGCAUACUCAGCCAUGAAUUUAGAGUUGCACAGCUGAUGCUCAGCCAACAUCAAAGGACCCUGGAUUUCUGCAUUAACGUUCAAAGCAGGAUGGGUAAGACGAGCAUCUUCUACAAGAUCAUCCCCAGGAAGACAAUGGAGAACAUCCUGACUGGUGCCCCAUGGCUCGGAAAGUCUGCAGAUGCUGCUGGUUUGGCUUCAGCUGGAGCAGCCAGGCCCCGUGUCCACACCUGAGCAGCAGAGCUGGGGGCCCAGACUCCCCCUCCACUUUGUCAUCAGCGGCUCCCUGACCUACCUGUCCCUGGUGUGUGAGUUAGCUUUUUGCGCCCCAUGUCAGGAACUGAUAUUUGUGCUCUCCUCUUUCUACUCUACGUGACUCAAGCUUUCACAUGAGAGAAGCUUCCAAAGCAAGAGGGAAUAAUUAAAUUCAAGGAAAUGAGCACCUCCAGCACCUGGAGAGCAGAUCACACCCCUGAUCUCAGACCAGGAGCAUCAUGAUCCUCAACAUUUUAUCCUACA